UACGUAGGGGGCAAGCGUUACUCGGAUUUAUUGGGCGUAAAGCGAAUGUAGGCGGUUUCAUAAGUCAGAGGUGAAAUCCCUCAGCUCAACUGAGGAAUAGCCUUUGAUACUACGGAACUUGAGGACAGGAGAGGAAAGUGGAAUUCCCGGUGUAGCGGUGGAAUGCGUAGAUAUCGGGAGGAACACCAGAGGCGAAGGCGGCUUUCUGGACUGAUCCUGACGCUGAGAUUCGAAAGCCAGGGGAGCAAACAGG
This 253-nucleotide ribosomal RNA is filed under the name uncultured bacterium. RNAcentral's name for it is "partial 16S ribosomal RNA". It matches the Rfam family "Bacterial small subunit ribosomal RNA", at positions 524 to 776 of the family's 1533-position model. The record is from RNAcentral.